CACCCACAAGGUGGCCGGGAACGAACGUCGACAAUUAACGAAAUCAUCUGGAUCUAAUAGCAGCAACAUUCAUCACAUUUUUAGCUAAUGCACUUCUGGCAUAAACACUUGAUUCCGAGGAAAAAGUAGCGUCUACUCGUUGAUCGUCGUUAUUAUCCAUCAUUGCUACAAUCUGUUAAAGCAAUGAGUGCAAUUUUUUUGCUUAUUUAAAAUACCCGCAACAAAAGUAUAGAACCUCUAACGAUUGUGUUGGGCAAAGACUCGCGGGAAUCAACCGUGGUAAAAUCUAAGUUUCCUGUUUUUCGGAUAAUUAGGGCAGCACCGAGGUAUGGCAAAAAAAAGGAAAUUUUUAUAAAGUAUAAGAAAUCAACCGAAAGUUUCAAAUCUACUCCACUAGUAUCGGACGCCACCACUAAACCUGAUCCUCAAGUAGAUGAACUGGCUAAUCAAUUGGAGCAGAUUAAGUUAAAGAGACAAAACCAAUCUAACUGAACAGCCUGCCAACGAUAUUACAUUUUGUACAUCAUUACAUCGCGUGAAUAAUAAUCCUGCCGACGUACAUCAAGUAGUAAACGCUAUAGAAUGCCUGUCUGAUAAGUGAGCAUUCCAAAUUUAGUAACGAAAGCAGCGUAUCUUCGGCAUCGUAGACAUCUCUCCUGGUAUACUGGAAACUUUCGUUGUCAUCGCUCGCAGAUAAAAUUCGUAAAAUUUCGGCUCAUCACCAUCUUCUGCAACUGCAAUCGAUGGCCACUGGAAAUACUUUAGUCGAUAGCAGCAGGGCCUCAAAUCAGAGUCCGUCAAAAAAUAAGUUGUGCAGUGUAGUUUCGAAUAUUAUAGUCCCUAGAGGACCAAAUUCGCAGUUUGGAUAGUCUUGUCCAGAAACUUCCGGUUUAACCAAACUAGUGAUUAUACUCAAGAAACUAAAGAAGCCUGGUGCCUAGAUAAACAUGGCUAACGUGCGGCAUUUCUAUUGUUUUCUCCAGCUUUCCCAUUUCAAGCACACAUAUCAAUACUACCGGCAGCAACUGCACCAUUAAGAAAGUCCUAUAACUUCCCGGAAAGCGCGCCAUCAGUCAAAUAUUCACGUCAUCGAAAGGCAAGAAUCUUAUUCCGGGCGGCAAGAGAUUAUACUUUAGCCUGCCAGUGGCAGUAUAUCAGAAUGGUGCGAGAAUUUCAAGCAUAGCCACCCGUUCUUGUUUUAACCCGACACACACUAUCUGUAUUUCAACUUUCCAAGUUAUGGAGCAUCCCGAAGUAUCGUAUGAUUACAGUUUCAACUUGACGUAAAUCUAGAAAGAUAACCUAGACCUAAGCUUUGAACAGCACGAGUUCCGAGCUGGACGACUGAAGUAGGAACAGGGCACUUCAACCCCGUGGUGAAAACCUACUCGAAUUCGCUCAGCAGGUUAUGAAGGAGCACAGCAACUGUAAAUCUAUGCUCUAGGUAUGAGUCGUCGAAAAGAAAGAAAUCGGGAGUUUCUCACUGGAACUUUAUGCUUUCAUUGCAUUCAAUUGAGUUUAUAUAUAACAUUUUUGUGACUUUGUUCGAUUUUAACUUUCGUAAAGUUAUUGGGUAUGUAUCAU
This is a long non-coding RNA of Sabethes cyaneus, 1584 nucleotides long. RefSeq lists it as uncharacterized. NCBI's taxonomy places the organism in Eukaryota, Metazoa, Arthropoda, Insecta, Diptera, Culicidae. The record is from RefSeq and is a predicted model, not a curated record. The transcript has 3 exons.